This 168-nucleotide unclassified non-coding RNA is filed under the name soil metagenome. Its description in RNAcentral is "partial internal transcribed spacer 1". The record is from RNAcentral.
CACAAAUAUGAGGUAGGGUGUGCUAGGGCAGUUUGCGGGCUGCAUAUCUCUUACCCUUGUCUUUUGAGUACCUUCGUUGUUCCUCGGCGGGUCCGCCCGCACCAUUGGACAAUUAUAAAUCAUUUAUGCAGUUGCAAUCAGCGUCAGUAUAAAAACUGUAAUCAUUUA